UUAGAGGGACGGCCAGGUCUUGGUAGAUUUGCAGUGGUCUGAUACUCCUUCCAUUUCAAUAUUAUCGCUUGCACAGUGCUCCUUGGGAUGUUUAAAGCUUGGGAAAUUUAAAUUUAAUGUCUAAACAAAAUAAUCAAAAAACAUUAUUUUUUAAUAACCUAACAAAAUAUUAUUUUUUACGAAUAAGGGGCAAAUAUUGUACAAUCCAGGUUUGCAAAGAUCUUAGAGACAGAUUUACCCAGAAAUAAACGCUUCCAAAGGUGAUUCUAACAUGUCGUCACUCAAGGGGUUGAAUACUUAUCCAAUCAAAACACUACAUAAGUGUUUUAUUUUCUAUUAAAACAUUUAAAAAUGUAUUUUUUUCUUCCACUUUGACAGAGUAUUUUGUGUAGAUUGUUUACAAAAAAUUACAAUAAAAUACAUUUGUAACAACAAAAUGUGGAAAAAGUCAAGGGGUGUGAAUACUUUCUGAAGGCACUGUCUAUAAUCUCAUACUGCCAGUGCCAGCCAGCCCAUAGCCGAAUGUUUAGCUUUCUAGCUAACGUUAGCAUCUUAGCUAGCACAACAUGGCUAAGGAUACUGCACUAAUUCGGCAGCUAACACAAGCAGCUGUUUCAUAGAAACUAGCUAAUCUAUUGUGAUAUAUUGUCAAUACUAGCUACAGUGGUUAGCUAGUUUGGAGGAAGUAUUUAGUGUUGUGGGCAUUGCGUCUGUCACUUCGGUAGCUACCAUCCCAUAGCCUUCACUGCAUAUGAAGUGUGACUGGCUCAUCGUGGAUGUACAGAGAAAAUGCCCUUCUUUAUGCUCCCCUUCGUGGAGGUUUGUGCUCUCUGAUUGGCUCAAAGUCAAGUUGUUGGCUACUGACAACCAUUGCUGUAGGUUCGUUGCUACCGGUUCAGCACGCAGCAGGUACCGCGUUUGUUCUAGCGAGACAAGAAACGGCCUCCUACUGUAAUAAAUACAUAUUGGCAGUCUAUCAGCAGCGAGAUUAUCGUGUUUCAUGCUUUAGGGUUAGUAUAUAGUUAGUUUAAAUGUUACUGAUAGUCUAAAGAGCAUCUACAGAUGGACUAUCCAAAUAAACUUCUAGUCAUUUCAUUAAUUUUUAUUUAACCCUUAUUUUACCAUGUAAAUUGACUGAGAAAACAUUCUCAUUUACAGUAAUGACAUGGGUAAUAGUUACAGGGGAGAGGAUGGGGGAUGAAUGAGCCAAUUGGAAGCUGGGGAUGAUUCAUCCUUAGUUAGUUUUAGUUAUCAGUCGACUGACAAUCUGGACAAUUUUAGUCUAGUUUUAGUCACUUAGUCAGUGCGUUUUGUCUAUUAAAUAACGAAUAUUUAGGCUACCUCUAAUUUCCACCACGUGCCUUGUCCAACUAGGCCUCGUAUACUUUAGCUGGCAACAUUUGAUAUUGUGGCAGAUUAUAACCAAUGCCAGCCGUAAUUAACCAUAUAGUCUAUAAAGGCUUGGCUACAGGUUCAACAAUUUACAGCUCUAAUUUUCUUUCCAUCAUAACUGUCAAGGGGUUAAAUUCUAGUGGUUUCAUUUAAAGGGGUAUUUGAGUUUUACAAAAAAUGCCAGAAGCAUUACUGUACGUUUAAUAGUCAACAAAUAGCAUUCAUUUUUCCCAUAUGAAAAAAUUAACCACGUGUCGCAUUUCCUGACUGCGGCAUGAGAGCCGCAACACAGAUGAAUGAAACAGCGCACAUGGGGAAAUAGAGCUAUUGAUGUGACUGAAGUGACUGUGUGGCAGAGCCGGGCAGAUCAGCUCAAUCAGACCGCGCAACUGAAAUGUGUAAAUUCUGUCAAUGAGAGGAUUGCAUGAAUUAUUUUGCUUGCAUGUUUCUGAUUGUACAAAAUGUAUGAAAAAAUGCUUAAUGACAAAUUAAAUGUCCAUUAUGCUGUUGUGGAAUUCUCGUUUCGUCAGAUUUUUGUUGACUAAAAUGAAAAGGUAAUGUUUUUUUUCACAGGGCGUCACGUUAUCAUAGUUUUAAUCAGGAAAAAUAAGUACUUGACGAGUAUUUUUCGUCAUAGUUAUUGUUGACGAAUUGAACAGUAUUUGACUGGACCUAGAUCAGAUGGGGAGGGAGCAUGACAAGGAGUCAGACGAACUGGCUCUACUCAGUGAGGUGGACAGACACCGCAGGCAGAUGCUCAGGUAUAAUAGCAUGGUAGGAGUGUGGAUUAGCACGGUAGGAGUGUGGAUUAGCACAGUAGGAGUGUGGAUUACUGCUGUUGCUUCAGUACUGAAUCCAGACUGUACUGCAUAAACUGCACGCAAGCAUCCUAAUGAAACGGUGUGUUUUCUGUCCCUACAUUAACCAGACAGUAUGGAAGAAAGCCAACCUGGACAGUAAACUGUCGCUGGACAACCUGGAGAAGGAAUCUCUUCUCUAUGGAGGAGAUAGUGAAUUUAGACAAAGAAAGGUGACCAAAGAGGGCCUGGCCCAGACGUCCAGUGACAUCACAGAGAGCCUGAUGAGCAUCAGCCAGAUGAUGUCACAGCAGGUGACGCAGAGUGAGGAAUCCAUAACCAUGCUGGCUGAGUGGCUCCCCCUAGAGUACAGAGAGUGAAUGAUAUCGGAGUCUUGUUUCUGAGAGGACAGUAGUGUUUAUAAUUUCGGCCCCUGACCCCAUCCCCCAACUCCCUUUUCCUUCAGUGUUUACACAUCUGUAAGAACUAGAUGAAUGAGAAGCAGUGAUGUAGUGGUAAAAAGUGGGUAAACACUGAUCGCCUUUCACAGUGAAUAAAGUAAUGCUCCCUAUA
This is a long non-coding RNA of Oncorhynchus mykiss (rainbow trout), 2762 nucleotides long. RefSeq lists it as uncharacterized. NCBI's taxonomy places the organism in Eukaryota, Metazoa, Chordata, Actinopteri, Salmoniformes, Salmonidae. The record is from RefSeq and is a predicted model, not a curated record.